Molecule: ribosomal RNA, 640 nt
Filed under: uncultured fungus
Lineage: Eukaryota; Fungi
Description: eukaryotic LSU rRNA
Rfam family: Eukaryotic large subunit ribosomal RNA
Source: RNAcentral
CCCGCUGAACUUAAGCAUAUCAAUAAGCGGAGGAAAAGAAACUAACAAGGAUUCCCCUAGUAACGGCGAGUGAAGCGGGAUGAGCUCAAAUUUAAAAUCUGGUAGUCUUUUUUGGCUGCCCGAGUUGUAAUCUAGAGAAGUGUUUUCUGUGCUGGACUGUGUACAAGUUUCCUGGAUACGGAACAUCAUAGAGGGUGAGAAUCCCGUCCUUGACACAGACUCCCAGUGCUUUGUGAUGCACUCUCGACGAGUCGAGUUGUUUGGGAUUGCAGCUCAAAAUGGGAGGUAAAUUCCUUCUAAAGCUAAAUAUUGGCGAGAGACCGAUAGCGAACAAGUACCGUGAGGGAAAGAUGAAAAGCACUUUGGAAAGAGGGUUAAACAGUACGUGAAAUUGUUAAAAGGGAAACGAUUGAAGUCAGUCGCGUCUACUUUGGACUCAGCCUUGCCUUGGCUUGGUGCAUUUCCUUGUGGACGGGCCAGUGUUCAUGUUGGUUACUGGAAAAGGUAUAGGGGAAUGUGGCUCUUUUGGGAGUGUUAUAGCCCUUGUUCAUUAUACGGUGGCUAAUAUGGAGUGGUACAGCAUGCUUCGGCGGUGCUUGUGCUGGCAUAAUGGCUUUAAGCGACCCGUCUUGAAACACGG